RNAcentral lists this ribosomal RNA (618 nucleotides) under uncultured bacterium. RNAcentral's name for it is "bacterial SSU rRNA". It matches the Rfam family "Bacterial small subunit ribosomal RNA", at positions 338 to 951 of the family's 1533-position model. The record is from RNAcentral.
CCUACGGGAGGCAGCAGUGGGGAAUUUUGGACAAUGGGCGAAAGCCUGAUCCAGCCAUGCCGCGUGCAGGAUGAAGGCCUUCGGGUUGUAAACUGCUUUUGUACGGAACGAAAAGGUCUUUUCUAAUAAAGAAGGCUCAUGGCGGUACCGUAAGAAUAAGCACCGGCUAACUACGUGCCAGCAGCCGCGGUAAUACGUAGGGUGCAAGCGUUAAUCGGAAUUACUGGGCGUAAAGCGUGCGCAGGCGGUUAUAUAAGACAGUUGUGAAAUCCCCGGGCUCAACCUGGGAACUGCAUCUGUGACUGUAUAGCUAGAGUACGGUAGAGGGGGAUGGAAUUCCGCGUGUAGCAGUGAAAUGCGUAGAUAUGCGGAGGAACACCGAUGGCGAAGGCAAUCCCCUGGACCUGUACUGACGCUCAUGCACGAAAGCGUGGGGAGCAAACAGGAUUAGAUACCCUGGUAGUCCACGCCCUAAACGAUGUCAACUGGUUGUUGGGUCUUCACUGACUCAGUAACGAAGCUAACGCGUGAAGUUGACCGCCUGGGGAGUACGGCCGCAAGGUUGAAACUCAAAGGAUUGACCGGNGUGAGAGAGCGAGACGACGACGAGGGAGGAGG